RNAcentral lists this non-coding RNA (259 nucleotides) under Candidatus Omnitrophota bacterium. Its description in RNAcentral is "Omnitrophica bacterium c-di-GMP sequence". It matches the Rfam family "c-di-GMP-I riboswitch aptamer". From Rfam's summary of the family: GEMM was predicted in a large-scale screen for bacterial structured RNA regulatory elements. Genes associated with GEMM are involved in a diverse array of functions, including chemotaxis regulation, signal transduction, secretion and chitin. Lineage: Bacteria; Pseudomonadati; Candidatus Omnitrophota. The record is from RNAcentral.
CCACGAUAAUAGCAAACCUCCGCCAGUGGUUUGGGCGGUCGCCGAAAGGCAGGGACGCAAAGCCGUGCGCCUAAGUCCCCCAACCGUCAUUGCGAGGAUGCAAUCCAGGCGAUGACGAAGCAAUCUCAGAACGCGAGAUUGCUUCGGCAAUGCUUCGGUUUGCUGCCUCGCAAUGACGGUGCGAUGUAAUGCUUCGGCCCAUGCUUGGGCUUGCAUCCUCGCAAUGACGGUUGGGGGAUAAGGUAGGCAGGUUGCCGAA